UACGUAGGUGACAAGCGUUGUCCGGAUUUACUGGGCGUAAAGAGCGCGCAGGCGGUCGACCAAGUCGAGUGUGAAAGCCCCCGGCUCAACUGGGGAGGGUCAUUCGAUACUGAUCGACUCGAAGGCAGGAGAGGGUAGUGGAAUUCCCGGUGUAGUGGUGAAAUGCGUAGAUAUCGGGAGGAACACCAGUGGCGAAGGCGACUACCUGGCCUGUUCUUGACGCUGAGGUGCGAAAGCUAGGGGAGCAAACGGG
This 253-nucleotide ribosomal RNA is filed under the name uncultured bacterium. Its description in RNAcentral is "partial 16S ribosomal RNA". It matches the Rfam family "Bacterial small subunit ribosomal RNA", at positions 524 to 776 of the family's 1533-position model. The record is from RNAcentral.